Molecule: ribosomal RNA, 498 nt
Filed under: uncultured bacterium
Lineage: Bacteria
Description: partial 16S ribosomal RNA
Rfam family: Bacterial small subunit ribosomal RNA
Source: RNAcentral
AUUGAACGCUGGCGGCAUGCCUUACACGUGCAAGUCGAACGGUAACAGGUCUUCGGAUGCUGACGAGUGGCGAACGGGUGAGUAAUACAUCGGAACGUGCCUAGUAGUGGGGGAUAACUACUCGAAAGAGUGGCUAAUACCGCAUGAGAUCUACGGAUGAAAGCAGGGGAUCGCAAGACCUUGUGCUACUAGAGCGGCCGAUGGCAGAUUAGGUAGUUGGUGGGAUAAAAGCUUACCAAGCCGACGAUCUGUAGCUGGUCUGAGAGGACGAUCAGCCACACUGGGACUGAGACACGGCCCAGACUCCUACGGGAGGCAGCAGUGGGGAAUUUUGGACAAUGGGCGCAAGCCUGAUCCAGCAAUGCCGCGUGCAGGAUGAAGGCCUUCGGGUUGUAAACUGCUUUUGUACGGAACGAAAAGCCCUGGAUUAAUACCCUGGGGUCAUGACGGUACCGUAAGAAUAAGCACCGGCUAACUACGUGCCAGCAGCCGCGGUAA